UUUAGUGUUAUAGAUAUACACCCCUUUGGAUCCACACCUGUACAUACACUUUUACAUGACCACACACAUAUCUAUUGGUCAGUUUUUGAAAUGCUUAGUUUUCAUUGGUUAGUGUUUUGGUCUUUGUGGGGUAGUGAGUUUUAUUCAGUUUAGACUCUAGAAUUCUGAUUUUGAAUGGAGAAGACCUAGAUUGUUUUGCUGUUGGAAUAUUUAUUUCCUAAGACCUUGAGACCUAAGACAAUUCCUGAAAUGUAUCUCCAUAUAUAACGAGUAUGUAAACUUGCAUUGGAGAAAGUUCAGUUCCAUAAAUUGGACUUCCAAUAUUUCCAUCCAUUGUUUCCAUUAAAUCCAUUAUAAAUUCCAUAUCAUCGAUUGUCAACUUAGAGAUGUCAUAAUUAAAAGUGUAAACUACAACAAUAUUGUGUUUUCCAUCAUAC
This is a long non-coding RNA of Saccostrea cuccullata (small rock oyster), 437 nucleotides long. RefSeq lists it as uncharacterized. The record is from RefSeq and is a predicted model, not a curated record. The transcript is spliced from 3 exons. NCBI's taxonomy places the organism in Eukaryota, Metazoa, Mollusca, Bivalvia, Ostreida, Ostreidae.